RNAcentral lists this ribosomal RNA (252 nucleotides) under uncultured bacterium. Its description in RNAcentral is "partial 16S ribosomal RNA". It matches the Rfam family "Bacterial small subunit ribosomal RNA", at positions 524 to 776 of the family's 1533-position model. The record is from RNAcentral.
UACGGGGGGGCAAGGGUUGUUCGGAAUUACUGGGCGUAAAGGGCGCGUAGGCGGUUUGCUAAGUUGGACGUGAAAACUCUGGGCUUAACCCAGAGCCUGCAUCCAAAACUGGCAAGCUAGAGUUUUGGAGGGGGAAGCGGAAUUCCUGGUGUAGCAGUGAAAUGCGUAGAUAUCAGGAGGAACACCGGUGGCGAAGGCGGGUCUCUGGGCCGUAACUGACGCUGAGGAGCGAAAGCGUGGGGAGCAAACAGG